Molecule: long non-coding RNA, 349 nt
Filed under: Phascolarctos cinereus (koala)
Lineage: Eukaryota; Metazoa; Chordata; Mammalia; Diprotodontia; Phascolarctidae
Description: lncRNA (ENSPCIG00000024275.2)
Source: RNAcentral
GUUGGAAAAGACUGAUGAACUGACAUCCAAUUUCUCUUUUAGCUGAAUGAACAUUCCUCCUAUCAUGGAAUUCAAUGUAUGGAAAGCCUCAUGUUUUGGGCCCAAACCCACAUGCUAUAAAACUUCUUAACUCUCCAAUUGCCAUCAGGACAAUUCCAUACCACCAGAAAGCACUUUUCAGGUCAUUUUAAGAUGGGAGGCCUCGAUAAAAUGAAAGGAGCAAUAGCUGAGGACUCAGGGGCUUGAGAUUCAAGUCCUGACUAAACCAAUUAUUAUCUUUGUGAUCUCAGGUAUGUAGCUUAAUUUCACCAAACAUACUUCCUCAUCCAUGAAAUGGGAAGAAUAAUAC